AUGAUAUACCAGUUUACAAGGUUGUUCUUAAAAGUCAGAGUUAAAGACCAAAUACUGUGUAAAACUGUCAGUGAUGAAUCUCCUAUUGUCAAAAUCAGGUACCAUGUGUCAAGGCUGAAACUGACUGCAAUAUCAUUCCCAGCACUGCAGUGGAAAAUGAUCCCUAUGAUGAAGAAAGUGGGUGGCCUGUUUUCAUGUCAGAGAUCAGUCAACUUGAGGUCUUGCGGAUGUUCCCUUUACAAGUGGAGUCCGGUUCAUCAGGGACAAUGCUUGUGCCUUUCAAAGCACUUCGAUGUCUGCAGAGGUUUGGGAAUCUCAGGGAUUUGCUCUCAGAAGAUCUGAUGACCUUCUCAGAAGCAUUUAGGAAGCAGCCAAGCAUAGCAAGCCAAAGCAUUCCGACAUCUCACUGAUCAGAUUAUUUUCUUCUCAUAUACAUGUGCAUCAGUGGCUGCAGUCUCUCAAACCUUUGGUGACCUUAGGCUCUGUAAUUUCUAUUUUUCCUAAUACUGCUGCACUAAUAAAUCUCUGGCAGUGAUGAGAGACAUUACAAAUGCUUUCUUGGUUUUAUUACUCUGAACAACGCAUAGGAAAUUAGGAAAAUUGAGAUGCAAUUUCCACUAUAUGUGAGAUUUUCUAUUUAUGGAAAUUAAAACUGGUAAUGGAAAGUUGGAUUUUCUGACCGAUCAGAUGACACUGAUUUUCCAUGUCGAGUCUAAUUUCAACAUCUAAUUUGAAAGUAAUUGCAUGUUCUAAUAUACUGUAGUGUAUGAAUUCACACAAAUGUGGUAGCUUCUCCUUGUUUAUGUAAUUCUCCCCUUUUAUUGAACUUUCUUCCUUUUAGCAAACAGAACGCUUGCUCUUAAAAUACAAAACUAUAGCAGAACUGUGCAGAUUAUCAAAUAAGUGGAUAUGAGUGAAUACUUUGGGAAAGCAUAAAAAAUACCUAAAUGAAUUGGGGAGAAUGGAUAGUUUCAUUUUAAAAUGACAAAUUUUCAACAAGAAUGAAAGAAGAGGAGCAUUUUAUCUUAUACUGAUAAUAAAACAGCAUUUUUAAGUCUACUGAUCUCUCAACUCUUAAAAAUCCAAACAUUAUCACCUUUUUUAUACUUCCACAAUGCACAAUUGUUACUAAUGAGAGAACUAUAAAGUCAGAGACAGCAAUCAGGCUGGUAAUUUGAGGUUUUCAGGUUCUGAUUCAGUACCAUCCAUCCAGCAAAAAAAUCUGAGCACAGAGGAGUCUUAUCAAGGAAAUUCAAGAAGCUUGAGUUGCUAAGCAGCUAAUUGACGUGAAGGCUUUGAAGUAUCUAUGUAAUAUAAGCAAAGGAAUAGUUGCAAUGAAUUUGUACGAUUAAUGACUUGGUUUGUAACUAAUGACCUAAGCUCCUUGUUGUUCCUUAUUCCUUAUUUACAAAGAAAACUAUGGGUCAAAUUUGGUUUUCCGUAAAUAGACACAAGUGCCUUCAACUUUGUGGGAGGCAUGUCAAGUUACUUAAGGGCUAAAAUAAGUCUAAAUAUACACGUAGUUAAAUAACAUAAGUCUCAUAAAGAACAAGAUAUUGAGAGUAGAAAGAAAGUCUUCAUAGUAAAUGCUACAAUCUAAAGAAUGACAAGACAUAUGCAGCGAAAUGACACCAUAAGGACAGUAAAAUAAAUGUACCCAAAUAUUAAUGAAACUGAAAUAUUAGAGUAUUAAAAUCCAGGGUGAAAACACUGAAUUUUUUUCCAGACCUUAAGGCUAAAUCCAGCCUUGGAUAAAUGCAAAAUUGGCUAUUCCAACACAUCCCUUUUUUUCUGUACGUGGACAAACCCAUCACUUCAUACUUCAAAAAGACACAAAGCUCAGGACCUUAGUUUCAUCACCAGGUACAACUCUCAGUCAGAGCAUUAAAAUAAAUUGACAGAUACAUGCAUUCAAUAUGACAAUACUUUAAGAAUAGUAAAGGCAGAACAAAAGAGCCCUUCACUAAAAUUUCCUGUAACGAACUCUCAUGUUGAAAAUACUGUCACUCAUCACAAUCAGGAAAGACUUUAAAUUGAAGGGUCAAAUAAAAUCCUUAUCACUCUAGUGUAAGAUUCCUCCAAGGCACAGAAGGGAGUUUGCAGCACCCUUGUUACACCAUUAGCUCUUUCAAUUUGUGUAUGUAAGCAAAGACUGAACUUCAGCUUGGUGCCCUGUUUGCUUAAGAGGGGUGUUCUACAGAAAUUUCAAAAGGGUCAGCUCAGUGCUUUGGAAAAAGAAAAAAAAAAACCAUAAAAAUUAUAUAGUGAAUCUGUUGUUUAUAGGCAAACCAAGAUAGGACCUGGAUAGCCCUUUACAGAGUGCUGGAUAUGGUACUAUUUUGCCUAAAGCACAAUUGUAUAAUUGUAUAAAUCACAAGUGUAUUCAGUUUGGUCUCAUCUUGCAGGAGCUCUCUGCACUUUAUCAUAUGUUAAGUGCUCUACCUCUACAAAUGGUAAAUGAAAGAAAAGUACAUGCCGGUAGGAGAUUUAACACGUAUGGAGAUCUUUAUUCGGGAGGGUUUAUCUGUUUAAGCUGUUGUUACAACUUUGUGAGAAGACUAUUUGCACUGCAGUGCAGGAUCAUGCCCUGACAUGGAGGUUGGGGUGGCCCUUUGCUGCUGCUGGGAGGUGGAGUGUUGGAUCCUCUGUUACAUGACGCUAAGAAUGCUGAGGCUAAUUUAAGGAUACUAGGAUAGGAUACUCUUGCAAUAUAUAGUGUGAAAAAUUCCAUGUAAUAAAUGCGUUGAGUGAAGAGCUGCACAACAGUUGUCCUGUGUCAGUAAGUGAUCAUCUCUCUCUGUGGUGGCUUAUGGGGCUGCCACAAACCAGUGUUAGGUAUUGCAUAUUUCUCUAAUGAUGAGAACUCUGUAGAUAGUUUUUUGAACAGGUUUCCUGAGAAGGAUCACAAGCCAGUCUUCCUUAUCAUAGAAUUAUCCUCCACUAGCAGUCUGUUUAAAGUCAGCCUGCUUUGCAGGGAGAUUUUUGUAUGUUUUGGAAGAUUUAAUAUUGUCCUAAAGCCACUAACACAGCACUAUUGCCUUCUGGUACGGACUGUUACUGUGUUAGUUCUCUGUAUUCAUAGAAAUAAGCUACAGUGGGGCUGUUGUCCUGCAUUUCUGGGAUGCAUAUCACUGCGCCGAUCUUGUCCUUUCACUGACGGUAUCUGGAGUGUUCUGACGUCUAGGACACUGCAGUUUUGUUUCCAUUUCUCUGACUAUAUGCUUUGUAAUGCCAUUUUCCAGCAUGCCCUUCCCAUUCUAGCAGACAGGAAUUUGGCUUCAGAAUCUCUUUUUUGUGUUGAAAGCAAAUUUUUACAUAAUAUGCCCUCGUGUAUCAAAAGAGAUGCAGGUCUUCUGACCUGUAGAUGCGGGUCUUCACAGCUGUUUUGCACAAGCUGAUCUGCAAUUUGAGCUAGCAAUAUCUGGCCAAUAAAACUCCCCAGAAAGCUUACUCCUGGUAUCAUCCAUCUUCACAGAUAAAUAGCAGGGUUAAAGCAGUACAGGUUUUGGAUUAUCAUACCCUGAGCGAGCAGGGGACCAUGAGAUUUUAUGACAGCAGUAGCAGUAUGUUAAAUAUAAAACACCACUGUACAUUUCUCAAAUU
RNAcentral lists this long non-coding RNA (3603 nucleotides) under Meleagris gallopavo (turkey). Its description in RNAcentral is "lncRNA (ENSMGAG00000018616.1)". The record is from RNAcentral. Lineage: Eukaryota; Metazoa; Chordata; Aves; Galliformes; Phasianidae.